AUGUAUAUGGUUUCUUCCUAUGAGCCAACAGGCUUCAAGAUAGUUGAGAAAGGGAGAAAGGUAUGCAAUAGGUAUAAAAGCCCAUAAUUUCUAAAACAGUCUCGUCAUUUUACUAGAUGGGGUUUCCUUUUAAUGAUAAGGGACUAUGAAGGGAAAGCCUACUAAGGUUUGCCUACACUCAAAAAGUGGUCAUCAUCUUCCUCAAAAGCAGACCAAUUUGGUGGUGAACUCACCUCUUGAAACCUCUAAAGUUGGGGGCAUGAUCAUGCAUCAAGAUAGAUAUAGGAGGAUUCAAUUGUACCUCUAGUAAAUUAUGAUACCAUAUAAGAAGAAAAGUUAAGGGUGUCCAAAAUCAUAGUAGAAAGUGGAACAGCUUCUUCGAAGAUCAUAGUCAAAAUAAACCACAAAUUACAAUAAUUAAGGAUGGUAAAACCUCCAACCAACGUACUAGAAGAGCAUUGGGUUCUAAAUAAAAAGUUAAAGGAGAUAUCUUCAUCAAAAGUGCUUGACGCUUUGUAAAAUGCUUUUACUAUGGUUGGUAUAGAUAAGGUACCACAAAAAGAGCCUUUACCAAAUGAUUAGCUAACACUCGAGCAUUUUAAGUUUUGAAACACGAUUGCUUUGGCUAAGUUUCCAAACUUGAUGAUGGAGAGUUUGAGAGCCAUCCUUAUUAUAAUGAUGAUUCUAUCUUGAACCUGUUCUUAAAUGAAAAUACAUAUGAUCCUAUUAAAGAAAUAACUAUUGUUGGCCUUAUUCCAUUAGAAUUAUGGGGCAAUGAGUCCCAACCUAAGGAUCUAGAAAGGGGUGUGUUUGUAGAAAAAUACAUAAUUGACAAUCUUAGUCAAAGAAAAAGAGACAUAAGGUAUGUUUU
Molecule: long non-coding RNA, 871 nt
Filed under: Cicer arietinum (chickpea)
Lineage: Eukaryota; Viridiplantae; Streptophyta; Magnoliopsida; Fabales; Fabaceae
Description: long non-coding RNA (CARI_LNC000710)
Source: RNAcentral